AUGCCUACAUUUGCACUAACUAUCCUCAGAGUGCCAAAGAAGCUACUAAAGGAGAUAGACAAGUGCCGGCGCAUGUUUCUUUGGAAACAAGAUGAAGAGAUUACAUGUGGUAGCUACAAGGUCAACUGGUCAGCGGUGUGCACUCCUGCAUCACAUGGAGGACUAGGAAUCCUUGAUCUCGAGCGGUUCAGCCGCGCCCUCAGAUUGCGGUGGCUUUGGAUCUCCUGGACUGAUUCUGAGCGGCCUUGGGUCGGCACGGAGCCGCCAUGCAACAACAGCGACAAAGCCCUCUUCACGGCGACAACCAUGGUCACCAUCGGCGACGGCGCAAAGGCACUCUUCUGGCACUCCCCUGGAUCAGGCUGA
RNAcentral lists this ribosomal RNA (366 nucleotides) under Triticum aestivum (bread wheat). RNAcentral describes it as "partial small subunit ribosomal RNA". The record is from RNAcentral. Lineage: Eukaryota; Viridiplantae; Streptophyta; Magnoliopsida; Poales; Poaceae.